RNAcentral lists this ribosomal RNA (597 nucleotides) under Gautieria parksiana. RNAcentral's name for it is "eukaryotic LSU rRNA". It matches the Rfam family "Eukaryotic large subunit ribosomal RNA", at positions 72 to 650 of the family's 3401-position model. Lineage: Eukaryota; Fungi; Basidiomycota; Agaricomycetes; Gomphales; Gomphaceae. The record is from RNAcentral.
GGAUUCCCCUAGUAACGGCGAGUGAAGCGGGAUGAGCUCAAAUUUGUAAUCUGGCGGCCUCUGGCCGUCCGAGUUGUAGUCUGGAGAAGCGUCUUCCGCGUCGGACCGUGUACAAGUCCCUUGGAACAGGGCGUCGUAGAGGGUGAGAAUCCCGUCUUUGACACGGACUGCCGAUGCUUUGCGAUGCGCUCUCGAAGAGUCGAGUUGUUUGGGAAUGCAGCUCAAAACGGGUGGGAAAUUCCAUCUAAAGCUAAAUAUGGGCGAAAGACCCAUAGCGAACAAGUACCGUGAGGGAAAGAUGAAAAGCACUUUGGAAAGAAAGUUAAACAGUACGUGAAAUUGUUGAAAGGGAAACGCUUGAAGUCAGUCGCGUCUCUUGGGACUCAGCCUUGCUUUCCGCUUGGUGGAUUUCCUGGGGUGACGGGCCAGCAUCGAUUUCGACCGUCGGAGAAAGGCCUUGGGAACGUGGCACCUUUGGGUGUGUUAUAGCCCUCGGUCGUAUGCGACGGUUGGGAUCGAGGACCGCAGCACGCCUUUUUGGCCGGGGUUCGCCCACGCACGUGCUUAGGAUGCUGGCGUAAUGGCUUUAAGCGACCC